This 1080-nucleotide long non-coding RNA is filed under the name Vulpes vulpes (red fox). RNAcentral describes it as "lncRNA (ENSVVUG00000029532.1)". Lineage: Eukaryota; Metazoa; Chordata; Mammalia; Carnivora; Canidae. The record is from RNAcentral.
AUGUGUGCGGGGGUGUGCGCGUGCUUGUGUUGCAUGUGCACCUCUGUGCAUGUAUGUGGAUGCAUGUGGGUGUGCAUGUGUGUGCACAUGUCUGUGUGGACUGCAGGUGUGCAUGCACGCUUGUGUCGUGUGCACCUGUGUGCAUGUAUGGAUGCAUGUGUGUGUAUGCAUGGUCUGUGUGGACGUGUGCGGGUGUGCGUGCGCACCUGUGUGCAUGUAGAUGCGUGUGGGUGUGCAUGUGUGUGUAUGCAUGGUCUGUGUGGACGUGUGCGGGUGUGCGUGCGCACGUGUGUGCAUGUAGAUGCGUGUGGGUGUGCAUGUGUGUGCGCAUGGUCUGUGUGGACGUGUGCGGGUGUGCGUGCACACCUGUGUGCGUGUGGAUGCGUGUGGGUGUGCAUGUGUGUGCACAUGGUCUGUGUGGACGUGUGUGCGAGUUUGUGUUGUGUGCACCUGGGGUGUGCAUGUGUGUGCGCAUGGUCUGUGUGGACGUGUGCGGGUGUGCGUGCACACCUGUGUGCGUGUGGAUGCGUGUGGGUGUGCAUGUGUGUGCACAUGGUCUGUGUGGACGUGUGUGCGAGUUUGUGUUGUGUGCACCUGNCGGGUGUGCGUGCGCACCUGUGUGCGUGUAGAUGCGUGUGGGUGUGCAUGUGUGCGCAUGGUCUGUGUGGACGUGUGCGGGUGUGCGUGCACACCUGUGUGUGUGUGGAUGGUGUGGGUGUGCACGUGUCUGUGGACGUGGGCGGGUGUGCACGUGUAUGCAUCUGGCGUGUGGAUGCGUGUGUGUGCACAUGCGAGGGUGCGUGUGCGCACGCAUGCACACGGUCUAGCGUAACCAAAGUGAAAAGCAGUUGUGUGUCCCGAGAUGGAGGGAGCGUGCAGGGAGCAGACUGCCCUGGGUGGGCAUUGGGCGGGACGGCCCGAGAGCCCAGGGCAGGACGUGGCCAGGGGCCCAGCAGCGGCCCCGGCGAGGAGCGAAGGCUCUUGUCCGGAUGUUUCCCCCAGAGUCCGUGUGCAGUUUGUCGCAGAGGCGCCGGGUGUCGGGCGCUGCACGUCACCUCCCCUUUGUGCGGCGGCUUUUAG